AUACCACGAUGCAAGCACUUCCUUAACAACUCUUUGAAUCUCUCCCAUGCAUCAUACAGUGAUUCCCCUCCCAUCUGGUAGAAAUCAUUAAUUUCCUCUCUCAACUU
This is a small nucleolar RNA of Humulus lupulus (European hop), 107 nucleotides long. Lineage: Eukaryota; Viridiplantae; Streptophyta; Magnoliopsida; Rosales; Cannabaceae. The record is from RefSeq and is a predicted model, not a curated record.